This 159-nucleotide unclassified non-coding RNA is filed under the name uncultured Acremonium. RNAcentral's name for it is "sequence contains ITS1". The record is from RNAcentral. Lineage: Eukaryota; Fungi; Ascomycota.
CAGAGCUUAACAACUCCCAAACCCCUGUGAACAUACCACUGUUGCUUCGGCGGGCACGCCCCGGGCGCUCAUCGCGUGCCCCGGAACCAGGCGCCCGCCGGGGGAAAACAAACUCUUGUCUUACUUUUGUAUCGUCUGAGUGGAUUAUUAAAUAAAUCA